RNAcentral lists this ribosomal RNA (465 nucleotides) under uncultured bacterium. Its description in RNAcentral is "bacterial SSU rRNA". It matches the Rfam family "Bacterial small subunit ribosomal RNA", at positions 339 to 796 of the family's 1533-position model. The record is from RNAcentral.
GUACGGGAGGCAGCAGUGGGGAAUUUUGGACAAUGGGCGAAAGCCUGAUCCAGCAAUGCCGCGUGAGUGAAGAAGGCCUUCGGGUUGUAAAGCUCUUUUGUCAGGGAAGAAACGGUGGAGGCUAACAUCCUUUGCUAAUGACGGUACCUGAAGAAUAAGCAUCGGCUAACUACGUGCCAGCAGCCGCGGUAAUACGUAGGGUGCAAGCGUUAAUCGGAAUUACUGGGCGUAAAGCGUGCGCAGGCGGUUUUGUAAGUUUGUCGUGAAAUCCCCGGGCUCAACCUGGGAAUGGCGAUGAAGACUGCAAGGCUAGAGUUUGGCAGAGGGGGGUAGAAUUCCACGUGUAGCAGUGAAAUGCGUAGAUAUGUGGAGGAACACCGAUGGCGAAGGCAGCCCCCUGGGUCAAAACUGACGCUCAUGCACGAAAGCGUGGGGAGCAAACAGGAUUAGAUACCCUUGUAGUCC